UACGUAGGGGGCUAGCGUUAUCCGGAAUUACUGGGCGUAAAGGGUGCGUAGGUGGUUUCUUAAGUCAGAGGUGAAAGGCUACGGCUCAACCGUAGUAAGCCUUUGAAACUGGGGAACUUGUGUGCAGAAGAGGAGAGUGGAAUUCCUAGUGUAGCGGUGAAAUGCGUAGAUAUUAGGAGGAACACCAGUUGCGAAGGCGGCUCUCUGGACUGUAACUGACACUGAGGCACGAAAGCGUGGGGAGCAAACAGG
Molecule: ribosomal RNA, 252 nt
Filed under: uncultured bacterium
Lineage: Bacteria
Description: partial 16S ribosomal RNA
Rfam family: Bacterial small subunit ribosomal RNA
Source: RNAcentral